CGACUAACUAUGUGCCAGCAGUCGCGGUAAUACAUAGGUUGCAAGCGUUAUCCGGAUUUAUUGGGCGUAAAACAAGCGCAGGCGGAUUANAAAGUCUGGUGUUAAAAUCANCUGCUUAACGGUUGAAUGCAUUGGAAACUUCUAGUCUAGAGUGUGGUAGAGAGUUCUGGAACUCCAUGUGGAGCGGUGGAAUGCGUAGAUAUAUGGAAGAACACCAGCUGCGAAGGCGAGAACUUAGGCCAUUACUAACGCUUAGGCUUGAAAGUGUGGGGAGCAAAUAGGAUUAGAUACCCUAGUAGUCCACACCGUAAACGAUGGAUGUUAAACGUCGGGGCGAUCACCUCGGUGUUGCAGUUAACACAUUAAACAUCCUGCCUGGGUAGUACAUUCGCAAGAAUGAAACUC
RNAcentral lists this ribosomal RNA (405 nucleotides) under Mycoplasma amphoriforme. RNAcentral's name for it is "bacterial SSU rRNA". It matches the Rfam family "Bacterial small subunit ribosomal RNA", at positions 494 to 902 of the family's 1533-position model. The record is from RNAcentral. Lineage: Bacteria; Bacillati; Mycoplasmatota; Mollicutes; Mycoplasmatales; Mycoplasmataceae.